Gallus gallus (chicken) is the source of this 7332-nucleotide long non-coding RNA. Lineage: Eukaryota; Metazoa; Chordata; Aves; Galliformes; Phasianidae. The record is from Ensembl.
GUUGGGUGGAGGCCAUCGGGUAUCGGCCACAUCCUCUGCGUCGCGUUGGCCGACCGCUGUGUGCAGUGUGAGCCGCGCUGCUGCCUCCCCAUACGUUGCCUCGCCGUGGGGCUCCGCUUCGGCCGUCCCCACAGCCACGACAGACAAAGAUUGUUUAGGAAACUUCAAAGGGUCUUUGUUCUCGUUGUGUUUUGUCUCGUUCUCUGGCAUAUAACAAUGUACAGAAUGCGUAUGGAAAAAAUUAUCUUCGCUUAAAUGGUUUCUUCUCUGUGCACAUGGAAAAUGCCUUGUAGAGACUUCCUGCAGCCCCACAGACUCAGACAAUGCAGUUUACAGCACUGUUGUAAUGUAAAUCCAAUAUAAAAUGAAAUGAGAUGGUUUGUUAUUCUUACCAGAGUCAGAUGUCAAGUACUGCAGUCUUAAAGCCAAACGAGACCAACAAACCGAACCACCCCAAAGCAAAGGGACAGAGCUUUGGAGGGGCCGCAGUGUGUGGCCUGAGCGCAGCGGCUGUAUGGACUGUGCCGCCCCGCCGUGCUGCUAAUUGGGCCAUAAUUUCUGCCCUCAUUAGCCCUUAGGGCUGCGUGUGCUGCCCAGGAGAAGCCCCACUGACCCCACUGUGACAUUACAGCGAUCUAUCUGUGGGAUGACACACUCAAUUCACACCCCGUAAGUCCAAGCUAUAAGGUAAAAGUAAUCCCUUUCUAUUCUCUCCUAAACAGAACUGCUCCUGGAAAGCAGAAACAAAUCCUAGUAAUUGCUCUAUGCCCCGGGAGUCCUUAACAGAGCAUCUGCAGACAUGACAGGACCACGGCUGCUCCGGGAUCACUGCAGUGUUCAGCAAUGGCAGAGAUCAGUUCAUGCGUUACUCUUUCAGUGCUGUGUGUGCGCUCGGUGCUGUGACAUUGCAAAGAAGAUGACUUUGUUUUCCUGCUGCAAGGAGGGUGAAAUCUUAACAUCCCGAUGGUAUGGAAGGAGAGUUUUCUCUGACUGUCCAAACUGGCAUACAAUGUAAGCUGGGGGGGAGGGGAGGCUGUGUGCAUGCUCGGUGUUAGAGAACAAGCUAGUCGUGCUUCGUAUAAUGGCAAUACUUUCCAGUUGCAGCUCUCCUACGCAGAAGUUUAAUCUCCCUCACACGGACAGGGGGAGAGCAAUAAGAACUACAUCACUUUCAAUGUAGCCAGUUUUCUAGGAACCAGAAAAGUAUCUGUCAAGUGUGUGUUUCUGGUCACUUUUCCCUUUUUUUUUUUUUUUUUUCCUAUGUUUCCAUUUAUACCCCGCUGAGUUCCUACGCUCCUACCUGGUAAGAAAAUUAACACGGUUGCUAAGCUCUAAGAGGGAAGGGACUGCUUCCUUAGGUCUGAUCUGACCAAUGUUACCUUUAUUAAUGUAAAUAAUGACAUCACCAUUGCAGCACGGGAAUCUUAAAUAGUUCUGGGAGAACAAAUGUUAAGAAGGACGUCCCCGUGAGGCACGUGAUUCAUCUCCACAUGUGCAUGUUGGAGAGAUGCUGUUGUCCUGAGCCAGAUCAGCUCUGCUCAUCAAUUUGUAAUCUAUUAGCAAAGCCAUUCACUUUUUGUUGUUUGUUUUUUUUUCCCAACCGUGUGUAAGUUGGUGCUUGCAGCCUGCUGGGAAGUGCUGGGCAAAGCACAGGCAGCUCUUGUGUCCUUUUCAGCCUUCCUCCAGGAAUCUGUUUUUGCACUCCUCCAGAAGCCUUUUGUAAAUGAUGCCUGAACCAUAAAGCUCCGCUAACCGCCGUCUGCCUGCAGUGAUUCAGUGUUACUCAUCGGAGCGCUGCUGCCCGGGGCUCUGAUGAGCUGUUGGGGAAGCGCUUGGUUUCCUACAGGAGAACAGUUUGCUGAUGUCUAUUAGGAAAUAUCACUGCAUUCAGGUUCAGCCUCUGCUGCGUGGCUCAGAGUGUAGGAAAUGUCCAUCCUUUCUGGCCAGGGCUUGAAAAGCAAAAUGAUACGCUGGCUGUAACGGCUGCCAGGGGCGAACAUCUGCUCUACAGCUUGUCAUUCAGCUUCUAAAGCUCUCCGAUCCUUCUGUCUGCUGGAGAGAGAAAGCCCUGUUUUCUCCUCACCUGGAUUUCCUGUGCCAAAAGGAACACCUAUCUAGUGAAUGGUCACGAGAGAUGUAGGCAAUUCUCAUUUCCCAGUGCCUGCCUCUGUGCCUGCAUGUGGCCUCGAGCAUCACAGAACCGUAGAACGGUUUAAGUUGGAAGAGACCCUUGAAGGCCAUCUGGUCCAACUGCCCUGCACUGAACAGGGACACCUACAGCUCCAUCAGGUGCUCAGAGCCCCAUCCAGCCUGACUUUGAAUCAGCAAGCAGCUUCACUUGUACUGCCCGCGCAUGGGCAGAACACUGUAUUGGUGUUGCCACUUCUCUCUGGCUUUAAGCCAGCUCUGCCUCACUCACUUCUGGGUUGGAUUCCUAAUUUCUGUCAUCUGGUUGUUGCCUUUUCCUUGCUGCUGCUUGCAGCACUGCUGAGCUAUCAGCUGAACAGGGAAACACUGAUGGACUGACCCACCAGCCUGGCUCCUGGCCCUGCCGAGCGCUGGGAGCAGGACACGGAUUUGCUUUAUAUCAUUUCUGCCAUGUUUCCCUGACUCUAAUACACAAGUUCUAGGCUGAAAUCUGAGGAACAACUUAUGUAAGGAGAUUUUGGCUACUUUUGGAGAGCCUGGCCUCAUUGGGUUAAUGUUUUGGGUGCCACCUUUGUGCAGAGGUUCUCAGAAGAACCUUGAGAUGCCAUUCACCUAGAAAUUAGCUGUGCCUGGUAGCAUUAGGUAGCUUCUCUGCUCUUCCAGAGAUCCUGGUUAGCCAUCUGGAAACCUCAUCCUGUGAUUGCUCCAGAAUCUGGAAGGCCUUUUUUAACUACUAAUCCCAGAAACAGAUUUUCCCUUCAUCCUGUCUGUCAACACAGCCUUUAACUUGUUUUUAUGGGCUUCAGCACAUGUUUGACGCAUCAUUGCCUUAGGAUAUGGGCUACGUCUUCCAGACCCCUUCAGUGGUCAUUGUAUCUACAUACAGCACCUUCUGGAGAAGGCCUAAUGGAGUGGGCAUUUAGGAGGAUCUUCUGUGUGUCCCUCAGAACACGUCUUUGUGCAUACCUACAACAGGAAUCAGCGUAGUGUAGAGCAUUACGAGUGUGAAAUCCUAGGAGACUUUAGUUUACAUUGCAUCUUGUUUUGCUUCAGCAGAAUUGAGCAAUGUUUUCAUUAUGAUAUGAUGAAAACUGUACUAAAACGUACAGGAGUGUGUCUGGCACUCCCAGCUCCUUCCACCCACCGUGGCAUGCCUGAAGAGCACCACAAUACAGGCACCCUCUGCCAGCUGGGAGCAAAACGAGCAGAAAGCUGCUGCCUGCUCUCUCUUGCUUCUUAAGGAAGAAGUCAGACGUAGCAACGUUUCUUGAAAGCUCCAAAUAUAUGCUUAUGGGCCCUGCAAGGCCCAGCAGGAUACAAAGCCACCAGUUCCAGUUCUCAUUUGUGCCAGAACUUCAAAGCGUUUCCUUUUAUGCAGUAAUCUUAAACGUAGUCCAAGAAAACACGCACACGAUUACUUAGAUAUUCCAGUUAUGCCACCAACAUGGAAACCCGAAUGAUGAUAUUUUCCACAGGCAAAGCUUCCCUCGUUAGUUCAGUGCAAAAGUCUUCUGCUGGCCUGGAGGGAAGAUGCAGCCGCCAUGGUCUGAGCAGUGGUUGCUGCUUCCGUGUGGUGGCUGUGAUGCACUGAGCAAUGGGGCCGUGACACAGCCGCCAAAGUCCUUUUCUAUUUAGGGUCAGAAUGGUUGUUCAUUAUAGUCGUAACCUUCUUCUGAAAGAGAAGCUUUGUGUUGACUACCCAGUGCUAAUUUAUUACACAAUUUCAUAGGAUCACAGAAUUGUUUGAGUUGGAAGGGACCCUUAAAGGCCAUUUGGUCAGCCCCCCUGCACUGAACAGGGACACCCACAGCUCCAUCAGGUGCUCAGAGCCCAUCCAGCCUGACCUCGGCUGUCUGCAGGGAUGGGGCACCCACCCCUCUCUGGGCAACCUGUACCGGUGCCUCACCACCUUGUUGUAAACAACAACUUCCUUGCUUCCAGUCUUUCCUUGUAUCCAGUCUCCCCUCUGUUAGCUUGAAGCUGUUUCCCCUUGUCCUCUAACAACAGACCCUGCGAAAGAGUCUGUCCCUUCUUUCUUACAGCCCCCCCACUCACUGACAGGCUGCUCGCAGGUCUCCCCGGAGCCUUCCCUCCUGCGGGCAGAGCAGCCCCAGCUCAGCCUGUUCUCACAGGGGGGUAUUCUGUGCCUCGGAGCAUUUCUGUGGCCCUUUUCUGGACGUGCUCCAACAGGUCCAUGUCUCUCCUGUAUCAAGGACUUCCAAUGUUAACUAAAAGCUCAUGUAAUAACUAAGCAAAAUUAGUUUGGGCAAGACGUGUUUCUAUCCCAGAGACUUAAUCUCUUCUUGAAAACGUUCAAAGCCGAAGUACACCAACUUCUGCCAGUAUGGCUACGUCAUUCAGCAGUGGGUUUAUUUGGUUUGCGGGGCCAUUGCACAGGCUUGUUUUGUGCUUGCUCACUGGGCCACGGCUGCUCUGCUCCGGAGAUUAUAGCUGUAUCAUACAAACAUACAACGAGAUGGGCAUAUUAUGUUUAUGACUGCUAUUGUACUAUUUGGGUAAGUGCAGCUAAGCAGGCAGAGCCUGAGAUCCUCUCCUGCUGGAAUCACCUCCUGACAGCACUUGACCCUGCAGCCCAGGCGAGGUGGGUUUGUCCCGUGGUGCUGCAGCAGAAGCUCCAGGUCCUGGGCAGAGCAGGAACACUGAGCAGCAGCCACGAGGGCCAGCAGAGACCCAUCAUCCCAUCACGCUUGAAGUGUUUUCAAGGGCUACAGGAAGCGUGGUCAGAAAUGAGGAGAUCGUUCAAGGAUCGUUUAGAUGUAGAGAAUUCCUCUUGGUUAAGCAAAUAUCCUGCUGAGUUUCUCCCGGAAAAGAAUUCCAUGUGUAAGUUUGUACAUUUUCCAGAUUAUUAGGGAUGGGAUACCAGAGCAACUUCUAUUUCUACCAACUGAGCCUGCGCCGGGGCCUAAAGCUCCCUUCCCAGUUGGAAAGUUUGCAGUUAAGAAAACAAAAUAGGUUUUUAUGAGCAAUGUUUAGUUCGAGCGUUUGGCUGAUUCUGCUGCUGCAGCCUUUAAGGUCAAAGUUUGAUUCACUGACGUGUGGUAGCCUGAGAACAGGAGUGAAAGGGAUGGGGGGGAAGUAGUCCCAAAGGUCUCUGUUUUCCUGUCCACUAAUACUUCUUUCCUGCCCGUCAGAUGUAUGUUUGACCCAUGCUUCUAAAUUAAGUGACACAAAGAGAAAUCCAUUCCUACAGCUUUCCCUGCCCUCUUUUUCUGCCCAUUGUCGCCAGCUGUGCCAUGGGUGUGUUCACUUUGCUCCGUCAGGAAGGGAACCCCAUCUUUCCAUCUUUGGGGACGCGUUCUGCGCACGACGGUGCAGUGCAGAUGCCGUGACCUUAUACACAUAUUCCGUUAGCUUAGAGAAUGGAAAAUGGGUGUUUUAUUAUUCUUAUUACUCAUUAGGAAUAACUUUAAAGGAAGCGCCCUGUUCUCCGUGGGAUGCUGUGCAGCGAGGCAGGCGGUGCGGGAAGCCGUAGCCGGCACCCUCCUUUUGUUGCUGUGUGUUGGUGUGUUUGCGUAGGUGUGUGUUUGUCCAGGAUUCCUACAGGGGUUACUUUGGGGAUCCGUCCGUAAUCUCUUCCCCCAGCAGCCAGGUCCCCCUCGCUCUGUCUCUCCUCGUUAUCCCCCCACUGCUGCGUAACCCCCAGCAAUAGCACCUCCAAAAAGCCCUGCCCUCCUCCACGUUGGUACUUCCACUGCUGUUUCCCAGAGACACACUCAUAGAUUCAUACAAUCAUCUGAGUUGGAAGGGAGCCCUAAAGGCCAUCUGAUCCCACUGCCCUGCACUGAACAGGGACACCCACAGCUCCAUCAGGUGCUCAGAGCCACCCAGCCUGACCUCGGCUGUCUGCAGGGAUGGAGCACCACCACUUCUCUGGACAACAUAGCAGUCAUCAAUCCAUCACUUACAAUACCCCAUAAUAUCCUGAGUGAUGGUUCUGAGCGCUUCUCCUAGCUGUGUUCACAAAGCAGCUGCAAAGCAUGAGGCUAUCAGAGGAGACAGGCCCACGUCCUGCCCAGGCUCUGUUACUGCAGAGCUGUGAUUGAUUUACUGCUUCCAUAAACGCAGCAGGUGGCACUGCCAAACGCGGUGAUUUACCUGGGGCCACCCCUGUGUUACGUAGAAAAAAAGAAGGAAAAAAAAGCUCAUCCUCGGAGCAAAGGAUGGGUUGUCUUCUUUUUAUCUUUCGGAUACGCAGUGAUCUGGGGAUAAUUGCAAUGCUCAAAAGACAGCUGCUCUUGGAGAUGAGAACAACGGGAGCCGAGUGCAGGCAGCCCAGCCCUGCCCUCCCUGCGAGGAGGGGAAGGUGCUGUGGUGUCCGCCCUGGGGCAGGAUGCUGGCAGGUGGAGUUCUCAAGUGGGCUGAGUAGGGAGACCAAUCUUUUCCGCAGGGAAUGGGUGUGCUUGGCCGUGCAGAGGACCCCCCGUCGUUUUCCUCCCGGUUUUUACCAUGUACUUCAUGCUUUGCUCUGUAAAGCACUGUGAUAUAGUUUGUAUACAUUCUGUAAAAUAAGUUGUAUUCUAUUAUAUUGAAGAAAUAUGGAUAUAAAAUAAAGUCGAAGGAUGGAGUAAAGUAGCCGUGUGGUAACUGGACACACUGUCCCCGGUGGCGUUGGUUGUCCCAUUCCCCAAUCCAUCCCCGGCCACGAGCCGUCUGACGCCAUGGCCAGCAGGAAAAGCCCCAAAUCCCUGCGGCCCCGCAGCACGUCCGGGCCAUCGGCACAGGGGUUACUGCACGGCCCCUUCUGCUCUGUGAGAAAUUCCCCUGCUGGCAGCUGCUAAACCAGGAGAUUGAUGGAGCGGGGCCGUGGAAAGGGCCGACCAUGGGCUCGUCACCCCCAGCCGGCGCGCACCCGGUGAGUCACGGCCCCACUUCCCACACUGACGUCGUGCUUGGAGCUCGCCCAGCGCACGGCCUGGGAACUCGCGAGGAGAUCACCCCAUGCUGCGGCUGCGGGCUGACCCCCUUCAGAAACUGGAAGGAACCUAAAAGGUGUCAGCUGGGUGUGGGAUACAGUCUGGUUCCUAUCUGGAGUGUGUGGCCGUGUUCCUGCUGAGUGGGAGAAGCACUGAGCCCCGACCCUUGGAGCUGACAGAGGGCCGAGAGCUCCGGGAUCAGGAUGAAAUGAGCUGUGCUUGUUUAGCUGCGAGUGCCAUCAGGUCCUUG